UAGGGAAUCUUCCGCAAUGGACGCAAGUCUGACGGAGCAACGCCGCGUGAGUGAAGAAGGAUUUCGGUUCGUAAAACUCUGUUGUUAGAGAAGAACAGCGCAUAGAGUAACUGUUAUGCGUGUGACGGUAUCUAACCAGAAAGCCGCGGCUAACUACGUGCCAGCAGCCGCGGUAAUACGUAGGUGGCAAGCGUUGUCCGGAUUUCUUGGGCGUAAAGCGAGCGCAGGCGGUCAAUUAAGUCUGAUGUGAAAGCCCCCGGCUCAACCGGGGAGGGUCAUUGGAAACUGGUUGACUUGAGUGCAGAAGAGGAGAGUGGAAUUCCAUGUGUAGCGGUGAAAUGCGUAGAUAUAUGGAGGAACACCAGUGGCGAAGGCGACUCUCUGGUCUGUAACUGACGCUGAGGUUCGAAAGCGUGGGUAGCAAACAGG
RNAcentral lists this ribosomal RNA (429 nucleotides) under Bacteroidota bacterium. RNAcentral describes it as "Bacteroidetes bacterium partial 16S ribosomal RNA". It matches the Rfam family "Bacterial small subunit ribosomal RNA", at positions 355 to 776 of the family's 1533-position model. The record is from RNAcentral. Lineage: Bacteria; Pseudomonadati; Bacteroidota.